Non-coding RNA from Schizophyllum commune H4-8, 88 nucleotides. Lineage: Eukaryota; Fungi; Basidiomycota; Agaricomycetes; Agaricales; Schizophyllaceae. The record is from the annotation of a RefSeq genome assembly.
UCCUCGGUAGUAUAUCGGCUAGUACACCCGCCUGUCAUUUGGUGGCAAACUACCGCGGGAGAGCGGGGUUCGACUCCCCGCCGAGGAG